RNAcentral lists this ribosomal RNA (274 nucleotides) under uncultured bacterium. RNAcentral's name for it is "partial 16S ribosomal RNA". It matches the Rfam family "Bacterial small subunit ribosomal RNA", at positions 523 to 796 of the family's 1533-position model. The record is from RNAcentral.
AUACGGAGGGUGCAAGCGUUACUCGGAAUCACUGGGCGUAAAGCGCGCGCAGGCGGCUAUUUAAGUUGGAUGUGAAAGCCUACGGCUCAACCGUAGAACUGCAUCCAAAACUAUUUAGCUAGAGUGUGGGAGAGGAAGAUGGAAUUAGUUGUGUAGGGGUAAAAUCCGUAGAGAUAACUAGGAAUACCAAAAGCGAAGGCAAUCUUCUGGAACACUGCUGACGCUGAGGCGCGAAAGCGUGGGGAGCAAACAGGAUUAGAUACCCUAGUAGUCC